UGCCAGCAGCCGCGGUAAUACGGGGGGGGCUAGCGUUGUCCGGAAUUACUGGGCGUAAAGGGCGCGUAGGCGGGAUAGCAAGUCAGUGGUGCAAACUUGAGGCUUAACUUCAAGCUUGCCAUUGAUACUGUUAUUCUUGAGUUCGGCAGAGGGAAGUGGAAUUCCUGGUGUAGCGGUGAAAUGCGUAGAUAUCAGGAAGAACACCGGUGGCGAAGGCGGCUUCCUGGUCCGAUACUGACGCUGAGGCGCGAAAGCGUGGGGAGCGAACAGGAUUAGAUACCCUGGUAGUCCACGCUGUAAACGAUGGGUACUAGGUGUUGGUUGUAAUGAUCAGCGCCGGAGCAAACGCAUUAAGUACCCCGCCUGGGGAAUACGGUCGCAAGACUGAAACUCAAAGGAAUUGACGGGGGCCCGCACAAGCGGUGGAGCAUGUGGUUUAAUUCGAUGCAACGCGAAGAACCUUACCUGGGCUUGAACUGCAGGUGCUAUCUCCUGAAAGGGAGUUUCCUUCGGGACGCCUGUAGAGGUGCUGCAUGGCUGUCGUCAGCUCGUGCUGUGAGGUGUUGGGUUAAGUCCCGCAACGAGCGCAACCUCUGUCCCUAGUUGCCAUCAGGUCAAGCUGGGAACUCUAGGGGGACUGCCCCGGAUAACGGGGAGGAAGGUGGGGAUGACGUCAAGUCAUCAUGGCCCUUACGUCCAGGGCUACACACGUGCUACAAUGGCCGGUACAACGGGUAGCGAGACAGCGAUGUGGAGCAAAUCCCUUAAAACCGGUCUCAGUUCAGACUGCAGUCUGCAACCCGACUGCAUGAAGUUG
This 817-nucleotide ribosomal RNA is filed under the name uncultured organism. Its description in RNAcentral is "bacterial SSU rRNA". It matches the Rfam family "Bacterial small subunit ribosomal RNA", at positions 506 to 1328 of the family's 1533-position model. The record is from RNAcentral.